This 1087-nucleotide ribosomal RNA is filed under the name Salmonella enterica. RNAcentral describes it as "partial 23S ribosomal RNA". It matches the Rfam family "Bacterial large subunit ribosomal RNA", at positions 711 to 1711 of the family's 2925-position model. Lineage: Bacteria; Pseudomonadati; Pseudomonadota; Gammaproteobacteria; Enterobacterales; Enterobacteriaceae. The record is from RNAcentral. RNAcentral also lists the same sequence under 1 other name.
AGACCCGAAACCCGGUGAUCUAGCCAUGGGCAGGUUGAAGGUUGGGUAACACUAACUGGAGGACCGAACCGACUAAUGUUGAAAAAUUAGCGGAUGACCUGUGGCUGGGGGUGAAAGGCCAAUCAAACCGGGAGAUAGCUGGUUCUCCCCGAAAGCUAUUUAGGUAGCGCCUCGUGAAUUCAUCUCCGGGGGUAGAGCACUGUUUCGGCUAGGGGGCCAUCCCGGCUUACCAACCCGAUGCAAACUGCGAAUACCGGAGAAUGUUAUCACGGGAGACACACGGCGGGUGCUAACGUCCGUCGUGAAGAGGGAAACAACCCAGACCGCCAGCUAAGGUCCCAAAGUCAUGGUUAAGUGGGAAACGAUGUGGGAAGGCCCAGACAGCCAGGAUGUUGGCUUAGAAGCAGCCAUCAUUUAAAGAAAGCGUAAUAGCUCACUGGUCGAGUCGGCCUGCGCGGAAGAUGUAACGGGGCUAAACCAUGCACCGAAGCUGCGGCAGCGAACGUAUCACCCAAGACAACUUUACGGAGUUGACGAUUGACGGAGCGAAGCGACGUCAAAGCGUUCAUUAAAGUCGAGUUGGCUUAGGGAUACGUUCGUUGGGUAGGGGAGCGUUCUGUAAGCCUGUGAAGGUGUGUCGUGAGGCAUGCUGGAGGUAUCAGAAGUGCGAAUGCUGACAUAAGUAACGAUAAAGCGGGUGAAAAGCCCGCUCGCCGGAAGACCAAGGGUUCCUGUCCAACGUUAAUCGGGGCAGGGUGAGUCGACCCCUAAGGCGAGGCCGAAAGGCGUAGUCGAUGGGAAACGGGUUAAUAUUCCCGUACUUGGUGUUACUGCGAAGGGGGGACGGAGAAGGCUAUGUUGGCCGGGCGACGGUUGUCCCGGUUUAAGCGUGUAGGUGUGUGUUCCAGGUAAAUCCGGUUCACUUUAACACUGAGGCGUGACGACGAGGCACUACGGUGCUGAAGCAACAAAUGCCCUGCUUCCAGGAAAAGCCUCUAAGCAUCAGGUAACACGAAAUCGUACCCCAAACCGACACAGGUGGUCAGGUAGAGAAUACCAAGGCGCUUGAGAGAACUCGGGUGAAGGA